This 2026-nucleotide unclassified non-coding RNA is filed under the name Leishmania donovani. RNAcentral describes it as "gene:LdHU3.36.1730(CDS-product:heat_shock_protein _putative)". Lineage: Eukaryota; Euglenozoa; Kinetoplastea; Trypanosomatida; Trypanosomatidae. The record is from RNAcentral.
AGGUGGACAAUCUAUCCGUCACAGGCGAUAGCCCGACUACCCAUCCGGUGUCCACGCUACACAUACACACGCACAGGCUUCUACGUACCGGUACGCCUUUCCUUUUUCGGCACUCAGUCUCAAUGUGGAAGGCGGUUUGUCGCAGAAAAGAUGCCGCGCUUGCAAUGCUUCCAGUCCGUUGUAGGCCACCAAUGUGUUGCCGUGCCCUCCUACGCACCCGGACAUCCUUCGUCUCUGGCGUCGUUUCGACGGCCUGCCCUGUGCUGGUGAUGUCGGCGCGGCGAUGGUGCGCGACACCGCCGCCACACGGCACCGGCUCCUCUGGUUCACAGUCCAUAGAUGAGGAGGCUGUCGUUCGCGCUGCCAAGUGGAGUUCGUCCAACUUCGAGGAGCGAUUGGGCUUCCGUGCCGGUGAGACUAUCACUGAGGAGCGUCUGAAGCGCCACUACCGCAUUCUUGCAAAGCACUACCACCCGGACACGUCUGCGGGAAGCGGCAGCAGCAACGGCGUAGGGUGUGAGGGGGAGACAAGCGCUGGCAGGGAUGGUGCCUUCCAGAGCAUAAAAGAGGCGUAUGAUGUGGUCAACGCUGCGGUGAAGCAAGGUGGUCGACGGGGCGGCAAUGCCUCGCGCGGGUUCUCCGCGGAAGACUUCGCUGGGGGCUUUGAGUUCUCUGACGAAGCGCGGCGUCGCUCUCAGAUGCGACUCCUUGGCGACGCGGUCCUGCUUUUCGUGUUCAUGACAGUGGCCUUUAUUGGAAUUGUGAGCAGCCACAACAAGUCACGCAUGCAGUCUCGUUAUCUUUGGCACCUGGUCGGGAUCUUCUUUAUAAUUCAACUCUUCCCACGCCUGUUUGCGGCGGCCAUCCUCUUCGCUGUGCAUUCGAUGCAUCUGCUCGAGAAAGCAACGCUGCAGGAGCAAGCGGCUAUCUCGCUCAUCGUGGAGCGGACUGAGAAUGCCUGCUCUGUGCAGCUGGACGGUCUGAGGACCGAGGCGCAGCCGAACGUUGUAGUCCAAGUGACAACGACAGCAGACGCCGACAACGAAGCUGCAGAGAGGGUUUCCUCGACACUCACCUUCGACAAGGGCGUCACAGCAUUUACGCUACCUGUGCCAGUCAAUUUGAGCUGUGUCUACCACGUCAAAGCAGUGGAUGAGGCACGCAAGAUAGUACUGGUGGAUCGGUCACUCUCGGCGAGGAUGCCGGCGACCGUCUAGCGCGCGGCAAAUCAGCCUCGAUCUUGCCUCUAUGGUUUUGUCAUGACCGUCUUUGCCCGCUGUCUCCACUAAAGCCAGAACGGUAAGUGCGAGCUGCUAGCGGAGACGCUUAUGGAGAGGGAAGGGUUUCCGGGAUAUGCGGCAUAUGGAGGAGCACACAUGAAUCUCGCUUUCGCUUGUCCUUGGGGCACCUGUGUCGCGGUGUUCGCAUCACGUUUCUGUGCUUUAAAGCGUCUUUUUUGUUGUUGUUGUUGUUGCGUGUGUGCGUGCGUGCAUAUGCGUGUCAUCACAGAGCCCACCGUCGCGUCUUUUUGUAAUGAUCAAGGUACCUGUAUGGCUAACCUCGCUGGCCCUCGGCCACCGCGCUGUUCUGUGUGGUGUGUGCAUAGGGUGGGAGUAGUCUUCACCAGCCACGGCAGAAUAUCCGAAUAGCUGGGAGGGAUGAGGAACACACAAGAAAACCCGAGAAGACUCGAAUGCUCUUCCUCCGCGAAGACGGGACGCUUCACCGGCACAGCUGAGGUCGUACGUUACCUCCUCCCUCUCCGUGGCCCUUUCGUCCUCUGGCUUACUGACAUCGACAGAGGCGCGCGCGAUGUGCAGCACGUUUAUGCCAUACGUCUUCUUGGCGCGGUUCCGCGGGCUAGGCUUCAUUGUUGUGUGUGAUUCUUCAUCUCCCGCCGCCGUCGCUGCUGCUGCUGCUGCUGCCCCCCACCCACUCCGACACCCGCCUAAAUCCCGCUUGCUCACCAUGGAUCUGCGCUGCACGCCAAGCAACCUUCCCCUUCUCCCUCUCCUGAGUGCUCAAG